Molecule: ribosomal RNA, 736 nt
Filed under: uncultured Staphylococcus sp.
Lineage: Bacteria; Bacillati; Bacillota; Bacilli; Caryophanales; Staphylococcaceae
Description: bacterial SSU rRNA
Rfam family: Bacterial small subunit ribosomal RNA
Source: RNAcentral
UCGAGCGAACAGACGAGGAGCUUGCUCCUCUGACGUUAGCGGCGGACGGGUGAGUAACACGUGGAUAACCUACCUAUAAGACUGGGAUAACUUCGGGAAACCGGAGCUAAUACCGGAUAAUAUAUUGAACCGCAUGGUUCAAUAGUGAAAGACGGUUUUGCUGUCACUUAUAGAUGGAUCCGCGCCGCAUUAGCUAGUUGGUAAGGUAACGGCUUACCAAGGCAACGAUGCGUAGCCGACCUGAGGGGGUGAUCGGCCACACUGGAACUGAGACACGGUCCAGACUCCUACGGGAGGCAGCAGUAGGGAAUCUUCCGCAAUGGGCGAAAGCCUGACGGAGCAACGCCGCGUGAGUGAUGAAGGUCUUCGGAUCGUAAAACUCUGUUAUUAGGGAAGAACAAAUGUGUAAGUAACUAUGCACGUCUUGACGGUACCUAAUCAGAAAGCCACGGCUAACUACGUGCCAGCAGCCGCGGUAAUACGUAGGUGGCAAGCGUUAUCCGGAAUUAUUGGGCGUAAAGCGCGCGUAGGCGGUUUUUUAAGUCUGAUGUGAAAGCCCACGGCUCAACCGUGGAGGGUCAUUGGAAACUGGAAAACUUGAGUGCAGAAGAGGAAAGUGGAAUUCCAUGUGUAGCGGUGAAAUGCGCAGAGAUAUGGAGGAACACCAGUGGCGAAGGCGACUUUCUGGUCUGUAACUGACGCUGAUGUGCGAAAGCGUGGGGAUCAAACAGGAUUA